Molecule: microRNA precursor, 53 nt
Filed under: Nematostella vectensis (starlet sea anemone)
Lineage: Eukaryota; Metazoa; Cnidaria; Anthozoa; Actiniaria; Edwardsiidae
Description: Nve-Mir-9435_pre stem-loop
Source: RNAcentral
UCUUGUCAAGUGUAUCUAGUGUGAGUCACGUGCUAGAGACACGUGACUGGUGC